UAAUACGGAGGGUGCAAGCGUUAAUCGGAAUUACUGGGCGUAAAGCGCACGCAGGCGGUUUGUUAAGUCAGAUGUGAAAUCCCCGAGCUUAACUUGGGAACUGCAUUUGAAACUGGCAAGCUAGAGUCUUGUAGAGGGGGGUAGAAUUCCAGGUGUAGCGGUGAAAUGCGUAGAGAUCUGGAGGAAUACCGGUGGCGAAGGCGGCCCCCUGGACAAAGACUGACGCUCAGGUGCGAAAGCGUGGGGAGCAAACAUGAUUAGAUACCCUGGUAGUCCACGCUGUAAACGAUGUCGACUUGGAGGUUGUGCCCUUGAGGUGUGGCUUCCGGAGCUAACGCGUUAAGUCGACCGCCUGGGGAGUACGGCCGCAAGGUUAAA
RNAcentral lists this ribosomal RNA (378 nucleotides) under uncultured bacterium. RNAcentral's name for it is "bacterial SSU rRNA". It matches the Rfam family "Bacterial small subunit ribosomal RNA", at positions 521 to 898 of the family's 1533-position model. The record is from RNAcentral.